CAGUAAAUAAUUUAAAAAAAAUACUAAUCUUGGAAAUUAGAAAUAAUUACAUUUUUACUGA
Molecule: transfer RNA, 61 nt
Filed under: Bemisia tabaci
Lineage: Eukaryota; Metazoa; Arthropoda; Insecta; Hemiptera; Aleyrodidae
Description: tRNA-Pro
Source: RNAcentral